This 901-nucleotide long non-coding RNA is filed under the name Phaseolus vulgaris (common bean). RNAcentral's name for it is "long non-coding RNA (PVUL_LNC001360)". The record is from RNAcentral. Lineage: Eukaryota; Viridiplantae; Streptophyta; Magnoliopsida; Fabales; Fabaceae.
UAGUAGUAUGGUGGAGACUUGUAGUAGUAUGGUGGAGGAGGUGAGGGAGAAGGAGGAGGAGGAGAUUUGUAGUAGUAGGGUGGUGGUGGGGACUUGUAGUAGUAAGGAUCAUGGGGUGGUGACUUUUCAGGUGGGGGAGGAGACUUGUAGUAGUAUGGGGGUGGUGGUGAUGGUGAAGGUGGUGGUGGGGACUUGUAGUAGUAAGGAUCAUAGGGAGGUGACUUUUUAGGCGGGGGAGGAGACUUGUAGUAGUAAGGUGGUGGAGGUGAGGGAGAGGGUGGUGGGGGAGAUUUAUAGUAGUAGGGUGGUGGUGGUGAUGGAGAUGGUGGUGGUGGUGACUUGUAAUAGUAAGGAGGUGGAGGUGAAGGAUCAGGUGGUGGAGGAGACUUGUAGUAGUAAGGUGGUGGUGGUGAUGGGGAUGGUGGUGGAGGUGACUUGUAAUAGUAUGGUGGUGGUGGUGAGGGGGAUGGUGGAGGAGGUGACUUGUAGUAGUAGGGAGGUGGUGGUGAUGGAUCAGGUGGAGGAGGUGACUUGUAGUAGUAGGGUGGUGGUGGUGAUGGGGAUGGUGGUGGAGGAGACUUGUAGUAGUAGGGAGGUGGUGGUGAUGGAUCAGGUGGAGGAGGUGACUUGUAGUAGUAGGGUGGUGGUGGUGAUGGAGAUGGUGGUGGAGGAGACUUGUAGUAGUAUGGUGGUGGUGGUGAUGGAGAAGGUGGAGGAGGAGACUUGUAGUAGUAAGGAGGUGGUGGUGAUGGUGAUGGUGGAGGAGGAGACUUGUAGUAGUAGGGAGGAGGUGGUGAUGGAUCAGGUGGAGGUGGUGAUUUGUAGUAAUAGGGUGGUGGUGGUGAUGGGGAAGGUGGUGGAGGAGAUUUGUAGUAGUAUGGUGGUGGUGGUGAGGGAGAGG